UCCUAAUUUUUUAUAUAAUAAAGAAAUUGUGGAAUUUAGGUUUUGAGAAAAAAAAAUGAUAAUAAUAGGAAUUUAUAUUAUUUGAGGUUAUUUAGAAAUAAUAUUAUGGUUAGGUAUUUAAUUAUAAAUUUAAAAAUUUAAAUUUAAAACCACAUAAGCAAUAUUUAGUUAAGAUAUAAUACAUAAAUAAUUUUUUUUAUGUAUGUGUUGAAAAAAAAAAGAGAGAAAGUAGAAGGAACAAAAAAAAAAGGGGGUGGAAGGUUGUUGUUUCUAAGUCCCACAUUGGUUAGAUGAGGGAAGAGAAGAGGUGCCUUCAUGUAUAAAAAGGAGGGGGUGUGUGCAUUAGGAAGCAUGAGAGGCUAAGAUGCAAUUUAGAGAAAAUUACAACUUUUGGCCCAAAGGUUUGAAUAAUUAAAUUCAAACCUAUAGUUUUUUUUAAUAUAAUUUUGGGACUCACAAUCCCAUUUUUAUAUUAUUUUUCUCUCUUCCUCUCACGUUGCUCGGCGUUUUCUCGCAAGGGGGGAUUAUUUUCUUUUUCUUCAGAUUAUAUUGACAAAGAUAGUGGUGAAAAAGGAGUUGUGAAGGGGAACUUGUUAUUCAAGACACAAGGAGCGAGUCCGGUCGAGAAAGCACCAGAGGUGUAACUAUGGUGUAUGAAACACCAUCUUUUACGUUGCCUCUUGUUUUGAAUUAUACAAUGUAUCUUGUGCCAACUUAGGACAUAUCUUCUUUGUGAAGCAUGUAAACUCUAAUCCUUUUUAUUAAAAGUAUUUAUUUGACUAAGAGGAUUAUGUUUGUCCCUCUUGAUUCAUGACCUAAUUUAAAUAUCAUGCCAUGAGGAUCCUGACUGUCCCUCAUGGUUCUAAUUGCUUUUUAAGAUAUUUUAAGAUCUGUGGUAUAUUGUCUUGGAUGUAUCAUGGUAAGAAAAUUUUCUACCAUAAUAAUGGUUUUAAUAAUUUGCGAAAAAUCGGUUUGUAUUUUUGAGGGUGUUACAUAUAUGUUGACCCAAUGGUACCAGACUUCGCCUCAACUUCGUUAAGGUGGUAGAGGUUGGAGGUUCGAGUCUGGGGAGGUUCCAAAAGACCCUGGAGAGGCAGUGGUGAGGAAUAACCACAGUACCACCUGUGGGAAAGUCGGCUUUGGUCCAGUGAUGGGCCAGAGUCCAGUACCGAGUCGAGGCCCAAGGGGUGGCUCCGUACUGUUACAUAA
Long non-coding RNA from Prosopis cineraria, 1209 nucleotides. RefSeq lists it as uncharacterized. The record is from RefSeq and is a predicted model, not a curated record. The transcript is spliced from 3 exons. Lineage: Eukaryota; Viridiplantae; Streptophyta; Magnoliopsida; Fabales; Fabaceae.